CAUUUGAAACAAUAAGCUUUGCAUUUGAAAUGAAAAGUUUUGCUUUUGAAAUGAAAAACUUUGGCGGGCCCUAUGCUGAAAGAUGUAAGACACGCCCCUAUUGGCCAGCCUUGAUCAGAGUAACAGCUUGGCAACAUCCACUGUUAGCAGACAACAGACAGAGUUCCAUGAAGAAGACGGAGCGGGAGCAGAGAGAAGACAGAAAAUCAUUGCGCAGAUUGUUUUCCAAGCUGGCACAGAGUCUAUUCAGUUGAAUGGAUCAUCAUGCACCCAAAGUUCUAUACAUCCAUCUUGUGGCCAUGCUGUUUCAGAGUGCCCAUUACAGCAUGAUACAGGUGAAGGCAGUACCUGCACAAGCACUCUACAAACAUGGUAUUGGCCACGGACACAGCUCCUCACCUCAGUCAGUGUCCGGUCUCGUUCAUACGAAGGACAGAGCAUCGCAGUCUUCCUACGGAUGUUACACGGACUUACCUACAACGCAACGUUGAGGAAAAACUACCACUUGGAACCCCGAACCCCGACUCCCGUCUGUCUCCAGUCUCCUGAGUGUGUCGCUCCAGUUCCCGGCUCCCGUCUGUCUCCAGUCUCCUGAGCGUGUCGCUCCAGCUCCCAGCUCCCGGCUCCCGUCUGUCUCCAGUCUCCUGAGUGUGUCGCUCUAACCUCCGGCUCCUGUGUGUCUCCAGGCUCCUGAGUGUGUCGCCCCAGUGCCCACACUCUUCCAACAGCAGUGAAACAAGGACAGUAUCAAUACCUUUCUAUAUUACUUCUGUGUUGCAAUAAACUCUCUCAGUCUCCUUACCAUUGUCUC
Long non-coding RNA from Siniperca chuatsi (mandarin fish), 811 nucleotides. RefSeq lists it as uncharacterized. NCBI's taxonomy places the organism in Eukaryota, Metazoa, Chordata, Actinopteri, Centrarchiformes, Sinipercidae. The record is from RefSeq and is a predicted model, not a curated record. The transcript has 3 exons.